UACAGAGGUGGCAAGCGUUGUUCGGAAUUACUGGGCGUAAAGGGCGCGUAGGCGGCCUUGUCAGUCAGACGUGAAAUCCCCAGGCUUAACCUGGGAACUGCGUCUGAUACUACAAGGCUUGAGUUCGGGAGAGGAAUGUGGAAUUCCAGGUGUAGCGGUGAAAUGCGUAGAUAUCUGGAGGAACACCGGUGGCGAAGGCGGCAUUCUGGACCGAAACUGACGCUGAUGCGCGAAAGCCAGGGGAGCAAACGGG
Molecule: ribosomal RNA, 253 nt
Filed under: uncultured bacterium
Lineage: Bacteria
Description: partial 16S ribosomal RNA
Rfam family: Bacterial small subunit ribosomal RNA
Source: RNAcentral